GAGUAGGGUAGCGGAGGACAU
RNAcentral lists this ribosomal RNA (21 nucleotides) under Trichoderma harzianum. Its description in RNAcentral is "partial 18S ribosomal RNA". The record is from RNAcentral. Lineage: Eukaryota; Fungi; Ascomycota; Sordariomycetes; Hypocreales; Hypocreaceae.